GACGAACGCUGGCGGCGUGCUUAACACAUGCAAGUCGAACGGAAAGGCUCCAGCUUGCUGGAGUACUCGAGUGGCGAACGGGUGAGUAACACGUGGGUGAUCUGCCCUGCACUUCGGGAUAAGCCUGGGAAACUGGGUCUAAUACCGGAUAGGACCGCACUUUGGUGUGUGCGGUGGAAAGGUUUUUCUGGUGUGGGAUGAGCUCGCGGCCUAUCAGUUUGUUGGUGGGGGAAUGGCCUACCAAGACGGCGACGGGUAGCCGGCCUGAGAGGGUGGACGGUCACAUUGGGACUGAGAUACGGCCCAGACUCCUACGGGAGGCAGCAGUGGGGAAUAUUGCACAAUGGGGGAGACCCUGAUGCAGCGACGCCGCGUGGGGGAUGAAGGCCUUCGGGUUGUAAACUCCUUUCGCUAGGGACGAAGCUUUUUGUGACGGUACCUGGAGAAGAAGCACCGGCUAACUACGUG
Molecule: ribosomal RNA, 468 nt
Filed under: uncultured bacterium
Lineage: Bacteria
Description: partial 16S ribosomal RNA
Rfam family: Bacterial small subunit ribosomal RNA
Source: RNAcentral